UACGUAGGGGGCAAGCGUUGUCCGGAUUUAUUGGGCGUAAAGAGCGUGUAGGCGGCCAGAUAGGUCCGUUGUGAAAACUCGAGGCUCAACCUCGAGACGCCGAUGGAAACCAUUUGGCUAGAGUCCGGAAGAGGAGAGUGGAAUUCCUGGUGUAGCGGUGAAAUGCGUAGAGAUCGGGAAGAACAUCAGUGGCGAAGGCGGCCUGCUGGGCUGUUGCUGACGCUGAGGCGCGACAGCGUGGGGAGCAAACAGG
This 253-nucleotide ribosomal RNA is filed under the name uncultured bacterium. Its description in RNAcentral is "partial 16S ribosomal RNA". It matches the Rfam family "Bacterial small subunit ribosomal RNA", at positions 524 to 776 of the family's 1533-position model. The record is from RNAcentral.